GAAAUGCGAUAAGUAAUGUGAAUUGCAGAAUUCCGUGAAUCAUCGAAUCUUUGAACGCAAAUUGCGCCCUCUGGCAUUCCGGGGGGCAUGCCUGUCCGAGCGUCAUUACGCACCCUCAAGCCCGGCUUGUGUGAUGGGCCCCGGCGUCUCGUUCGCGAGACGGGCCCGAAAGGCAGCGGCGGCGUCGACCCGAUGAGCCCGAGCGUAUGGGGACUUCUGUCACACGUUCGCGGUGCGGACCGGCGCCUGCUUGACUUUUCUGAUUAUCCAGGUUGACCUCGGAUCAGGUAGGGAUACCCGCUGAACUUAAGC
Molecule: unclassified non-coding RNA, 312 nt
Filed under: plant metagenome
Description: partial contains 5.8S ribosomal RNA, internal transcribed spacer 2, and large subunit ribosomal RNA
Rfam family: 5.8S ribosomal RNA (bases 1-105)
Source: RNAcentral